This is a long non-coding RNA of Hippocampus comes (tiger tail seahorse), 502 nucleotides long. RefSeq lists it as uncharacterized. The transcript has 3 exons. The record is from RefSeq and is a predicted model, not a curated record. NCBI's taxonomy places the organism in Eukaryota, Metazoa, Chordata, Actinopteri, Syngnathiformes, Syngnathidae.
AAUGUAAAAAUAAAAGUAUAUGUUGUAUCGGUCAUGAUCGUGUAUUGUUUGUUCGUUAUUUCUUUUUUAAAUUGUUUUUAUAUCGCUGUGUUUUGUUCCGCGAGUGACUGUUUUCUCCGGAAGACGCGGAAGUGAAAGCUCCACCCGAACCGGAAACGAAGGAAUGUUUGGAUUGACCGCCGCGUUUGCCUGAACUUUGUAUUGUGUGCUAUCAACACCCGAGCUAAGUUAGCAGCUAGUUACGUUGCUCUAGCACGAAAGAUGUUAUUGUUUAUUGUUCACACGCGCGUGGGCGUUCACAAUGAAAGAACGUGGUUGCGACGUCAGCUGCUGUCCAUCCAAAUCAGGUGCAGACACUUUGUCACAGGAUGACGGAGUUUGGGAUGAACAGAUGGAAGCUUCGUGUGGACGUGUAGUUCAAGUGGCAAACAUUUAAGUAACAAGCAGGAGGACCGAUGAGUCUGAGAAGUGGUCAGCCGAAGAGGACAGCCUGGACGCCUGC